UACGGGGGGGAGCAAGCGUUGUUCGGAUUUACUGGGCGUAAAGGGCGCGUAGGCGGUCGUGACAAGUCACUUGUGAAAUCUCCGGGCUUAACUCGGAACGGUCAAGUGAUACUGUCGGACUAGAGUACAGAAGGGGCAACUGGAAUUCUCGGUGUAGCGGUGAAAUGCGUAGAUAUCUGGAGGAACACCGGUGGCGAAGGCGGCGUCCUGGACCAACACUGACACUGAUGAGCGAAAGCCAGGGGAGCAAACGGG
This 255-nucleotide ribosomal RNA is filed under the name uncultured bacterium. Its description in RNAcentral is "partial 16S ribosomal RNA". It matches the Rfam family "Bacterial small subunit ribosomal RNA", at positions 524 to 776 of the family's 1533-position model. The record is from RNAcentral.